RNAcentral lists this transfer RNA (88 nucleotides) under Bifidobacteriaceae bacterium. RNAcentral describes it as "tRNA-Leu". It matches the Rfam family "tRNA". From Rfam's summary of the family: Transfer RNA (tRNA) molecules are approximately 80 nucleotides in length. Their secondary structure includes four short double-helical elements and three loops (D, anti-codon, and T loops). Lineage: Bacteria; Bacillati; Actinomycetota; Actinomycetes; Bifidobacteriales; Bifidobacteriaceae. The record is from RNAcentral.
GCGCGAGUGGCGGAAUUGGCAGACGCGCUAGCUUGAGGUGCUAGUGCCUGACUAAAAGGGCGUACGGGUUCAAGUCCCGUCUCGCGCA